RNAcentral lists this non-coding RNA (1021 nucleotides) under Globisporangium ultimum DAOM BR144. RNAcentral's name for it is "Pythium ultimum DAOM BR144 Bacterial small subunit ribosomal RNA". It matches the Rfam family "Bacterial small subunit ribosomal RNA", at positions 1 to 1099 of the family's 1533-position model. The record is from Rfam by way of RNAcentral. Lineage: Eukaryota; Oomycota; Peronosporomycetes; Pythiales; Pythiaceae.
AUUAAAUAGAGUUUGAUCCUGGCUCAGAAUAAAUGCUAUUGGUAUGCUUAACACAUGCAAGUUGAAUGUUUAAUUUUUAAACAUAGCGAACGGGUGAGUAACGCGUGAAUUAUCUCCUUUUAAUUCAGGAUAAUUAUUUUAUAUAAAAAUACUGAAUAAUUUUAAUAAAGUUUUAAUAACGUUAAAAGAUGAGUUUGCGUAAGAUUAGGUAGUUGGUAGUUUAAAAGACUACCAAGCCGACUAUCUUUAGCUGGUUUGAAAGAAUGAUCAGCCACAUUGGGACUGAGACACGGCCCAAACUUUUUUAAAGGCAGCAGUGGGGAAUUUUGGACAAUGAGCGAAAGCUUGAUCCAGCAAUACCAAGUGAGUGAAGAAGGCUAAUUAGGUUGUAAAGCUCUUUCAUUAAGGAGGAAAAUGACAGUACUUAAAAAAGAAGUUCCGGCUAAUACCCGUGCCAGCAGCCGCGGUAAUACGGGAGGAGCGAGCAUUAUUCGGAAUGAUUAGGCGUAAAGGGUUUGUAGGUGGUUUUUUAAGUUGAAAAAAACAAAUUAAAGCUCAACUUUAUAAAUUUUUUCAAAACUGAAAAACUUGAGUAUAAAUAGAGGAUAAUGGAAUUUCUAUUGGAGGGAUAAAAUACGUUGAUAAUAGAAGGAAGAUCAAAAGCGAAGGCAAUUAUCUGGGUAUAUACUGACACUGAGAAACGAAAGCUUGGGUAGCGAACGGGAUUAGAGACCCCGGUAGUCCAUGCUGUAAACGAUGAGUGCUCAUAUUUAGAAUUUUUAGAUAUCAAGCUAACGCGUUAAGCACUCCGCCUGAAAAGUAUAAUCGCAAGAUUGAAAUUCAAAGGAAUUGACGGGAGUCUACACAAGCGGUGGAGCAUGUGGUUUAAUUCGAUAAUACGCGCAGAACCUUACCAACUCUUGCAAAUUAGAUUAAAAAAUUAAAUUUAAUCUAAACAGGCGUUGCAUGGCUGUCGUCAGCUCGUGUUGUGAAAUGUUUGGUUAAAUCCUUUAACGAGCGC